Molecule: long non-coding RNA, 324 nt
Organism: Lolium rigidum
Lineage: Eukaryota; Viridiplantae; Streptophyta; Magnoliopsida; Poales; Poaceae
Exons: 2
Source: RefSeq, a predicted model, not a curated record
UGCGCUGUACCCCGCCGUGGGCGCCCUCGAGGACCGCAACAUCGCCAGGGACCACGACAAUCAAGGCCUAAUCGUUGACAACCAGCGGUUCGUAUCGAGCAUCGCCGACCAGACCACCCACUUAGCUGCCACAAGCUUGCUAAUGGACGGGGAGGACAGCAGUCACAGGCUUGCUCCUGAUGUCCUUUUUUUAACUUUUAAGUAUAAGUAUAUCAGAUUUCUUCCCUGAAUGUUCAUGUAUUUGAUCACGCCAUUGAUAUUAAUGAGUCUUCUUCGUCAGGAGAUUAUACAAUAUGAAUUUAAGAUACUCCAGAUUUUCUCUUU